GCCGAUCAUUGGGGCAAACCCACUGGUCGUUCCCGCUGCCGAAGAUGGUGUCGGCCAUGGCCUGGAGUGCCCAGCCGGGGCAGGGAGUCACAUCUGAGUCACUAUUUUGAUUCCCAGGCUGCCAGGUCCACAGAGUCUCCUCUUUGCUUCAGGUAGUUUAAGCUGGGUCUUUGUUGGCCGUAAUGAAGAGCCCUGAGUAAGGCACCUCUCCAGGAAUGGGAAGGAACGGAAACACGUACGCUAACUUGAGUGAACUUGGCAUGUUAGCUGAAACGCCCUGGAAACGAGCUUCCUGCUCCAGGGCUCAACUGCCCCCGUGGAGGUCCGUGCCAGCAGCGGAGACUCCAGGGCGGUGGCUGCUCCCCUUUGAAGUGCCCCGUGAUCAUUCCCAGGUCUGCUUGGGUUCCUCUGCAGCGUCCCCAUGCCCAGAGGGAGCCCCUCCACGGUGGGCUUCUUCCACGGCCCCUGAAUGGUAUGGCAGCCUCCCUGGUGUCACCACGAGUGACCUUUUCCCCCGGCAUCCACACAGACCGCUACGGGAGGCUCACCGCCGUUCGCACCCCGAGGAUACGUGAAGCUGGCCCAGGUCAUCCCAGACCCCGGUUCAUCUGCCAGGCUCCACGUCUGGGCUCAGGCUCCACCGCUAACCACCCCAGGUCUGCCGGUCUUCGGGACCAGUACCACCAGAAGGAACGUGGCAAGGAAGCCUUGCAUGCCGACUCAAGAACCUUCCACACGAACACGUGGGGAGUGUGAGCAACCUCCGGCAUCUCUGAAUCCAGCAUCAUCCUGUGACGUAGGACUCACAAGCAGAAAGGCCCAUUGGCUGCAUCCUCUCACGCUCCAGUCCCAACCUCACCGGACGUUUGGACGUGAAAAGAGAGACAGAGCAUGAACGGGGGAGGGGCAGAGAGAGAGGGAGACA
Leopardus geoffroyi (Geoffroy's cat) is the source of this 925-nucleotide long non-coding RNA. RefSeq lists it as uncharacterized. The transcript has 3 exons. The record is from RefSeq and is a predicted model, not a curated record. NCBI's taxonomy places the organism in Eukaryota, Metazoa, Chordata, Mammalia, Carnivora, Felidae.